UACGGAGGGUGCGAGCGUUGUCCGGAAUCACUGGGCGUAAAGGGCGCGUAGGCGGCGCGGGCAGUCAACGGUGAAAGCUCGGGGCUCAACUCCGAGUCGGCCGUCGAUACUCCCGUGCUCGAGCACUGUAGAGGCAGGUGGAAUUCCGGGUGUAGCGGUGGAAUGCGUAGAGAUCCGGAAGAACACCGGUGGCGAGGGCGGCCUGCUGGGCAGUAGCUGACGCUGAGGCGCGACAGCGUGGGGAGCAAACAGG
RNAcentral lists this ribosomal RNA (253 nucleotides) under uncultured bacterium. RNAcentral's name for it is "partial 16S ribosomal RNA". It matches the Rfam family "Bacterial small subunit ribosomal RNA", at positions 524 to 776 of the family's 1533-position model. The record is from RNAcentral.